GUCUACGGCCAUACCACCCUGAACGUGCCCGAUCUCGUCUGAUCUCGGAAGCUAAGCAGGGUCGGGCCUGGUUAGUACUUGGAUGAGAAAAUUACUCAGUAAUUAGUAUUUAGAAU
RNAcentral lists this ribosomal RNA (116 nucleotides) under Mustela putorius furo (domestic ferret). Lineage: Eukaryota; Metazoa; Chordata; Mammalia; Carnivora; Mustelidae. The record is from RNAcentral.